RNAcentral lists this ribosomal RNA (483 nucleotides) under uncultured bacterium. RNAcentral's name for it is "partial 16S ribosomal RNA". It matches the Rfam family "Bacterial small subunit ribosomal RNA", at positions 28 to 507 of the family's 1533-position model. The record is from RNAcentral.
GACGAACGCUGGCGGCGUGCUUAACACAUGCAAGUCGAACGCUGAAGCUCAGCUUUUGUUGGGUGGAUGAGUGGCGAACGGGUGAGUAACACGUGAGUAACCUGCCUCCUUCUUUGGGAUAACGCCCGGAAACGGGUGCUAAUACUGGAUAUUCACUGGUCUUCGCAUGGGGGUUGGUGGAAAGGGUUUUUCUGGUGUGGGAUGGGCUCGCGGCCUAUCAGCUUGUUGGUGGGGUGAUGGCCUACCAAGGCUUUGACGGGUAGCCGGCCUGAGAGGGUGACCGGUAACAUUGGGACUGAGAUACGGCCCAGACUCCUACGGGAGGCAGCAGUGGGGAAUAUUGCACAAUGGGCGCAAGCCUGAUGCAGCGACGCCGCGUGAGGGAUGGAGGCCUUCGGGUUGUGAACCUCUUUCGCUCAUGGUCAAGCCGCAACAAUGGUUGUGGUGAGGGUAGUGGGUAAAGAAGCGCCGGCUAACUACGUG